This 429-nucleotide ribosomal RNA is filed under the name Gemmatimonadota bacterium. Its description in RNAcentral is "Gemmatimonadetes bacterium partial 16S ribosomal RNA". It matches the Rfam family "Bacterial small subunit ribosomal RNA", at positions 355 to 776 of the family's 1533-position model. The record is from RNAcentral. Lineage: Bacteria; Pseudomonadati; Gemmatimonadota.
UAGGGAAUCUUCGGCAAUGGACGAAAGUCUGACCGAGCAACGCCGCGUGAGUGAAGAAGGUUUUCGGAUCGUAAAACUCUGUUGUUAGAGAAGAACAAGGACGUUAGUAACUGAACGUCCCCUGACGGUAUCUAACCAGAAAGCCACGGCUAACUACGUGCCAGCAGCCGCGGUAAUACGUAGGUGGCAAGCGUUGUCCGGAUUUAUUGGGCGUAAAGCGAGCGCAGGCGGUUUAUUAAGUCUGAUGUGAAAGCCCCCGGCUCAACCGGGGAGGGUCAUUGGAAACUGGGAGACUUGAGUGCAGAAGAGGAGAGUGGAAUUCCAUGUGUAGCGGUGAAAUGCGUAGAUAUAUGGAGGAACACCAGUGGCGAAGGCGGCUCUCUGGUCUGUAACUGACGCUGAGGCUCGAAAGCGUGGGGAGCAAACAGG